GUUAGCUUUCAAAUAACAGCUUCCAAUGUUUUGGAGAAAUCCCCUGUAGGAUGUUAGCUUUCAAAUAACAGCUUCCACUGUUUGGGGGAAAUUCUCUGUAGAAAGUUAGCUUUCAAAUAACAGCUUCCACUGUUUUAAAGAAAUCCCCUGUUAGCUUUCAAAUAACAGCUUCCACUCUUUUUGUGAAAUCCCCUUUUAGGGAGAUAGCUUUUAAAUAACAGCUUCUACUCCUUUGGAGAAAAUCCCUGUACGAAGUUAGCUUUCAAAUAACAGCUUCCACUUUUUUUUGACAAAUCCGCUGUAGGAAGUUAGCUUUCAAAUAACAGCUUCUCCUGUUUGGAAGAAAUAUCUUGUAGGAAUUUAGCUUUCAAAUAACAGCUUUUACUGUUUGAGGGUAUUCCCUACCUCAACAAAAUUAAUAUUCACUGAUUUAAUGUUUCUUUAACUUCAUUUACAAAAAGGAUAUACAAUGCUUGAGUGUUUACUGUCAACAAAAAUUGUAACUAAUUUAGAAUUAAUUUUUUUUAACAAUUGCAUAUAUUUUUAAGGAUCUGUAAUAUAGCAAAGCCUUCAAUUCCAAUAUUUUCCAAGACUUUAAUCCAUAAAUUAAUCAUUUGGCUAAACCUGUCAGAUUCUGGUACCCUCUUAUCUUAGUAUUUAUACUGAUAGUCAAGAGGUGUCAUACGACCAAUGAAUGCUGAAGUCUAUAGUGAAAGUCUUCGUAAAUAACCACAAAAUCAAUCUUCAAAUAUUGUGAUAAAAGGACUCUGAAGGUUUGAUGGAUUUAUAUAGAUUUGUAAUUAAGUAAAAAUACAUACUGAUAUUUUAUUACCAUUUUGUAAUUUUGUAAUACUUAGUUUGAAAUUUAUAUUGUUUACAUCAUAAUAGAGAAAUACAUGUAUUAUAUAUUGUUUACCAUAUAGAAAUACAAAAUGUAGAUGUAUUAUGUUGAUGCAAUCAGAGACAUAAACAAUAAUCAUAAUAAAAUGAGUUAUCAUUAUUAUUUAUGUUUCAUUUAAUUUGAAAUGUGAUAAAAUAUAAAACUAGGGAGAUGUGGUAUGAUCGUCAAUAAUGACUUAGAUGUACGCAUUUAUAAUUCAGUGUACCAGUUUCCUCAUGAAGGUCAAUCCAGAAAAGAGCCUCGGACGCAUAAAAUUAUUUAACUAGUUGUUUUCAUUUUUGUUUAUUAAUGAGCAAAUCCCAUGACUUGACAAAAUGUGGAAAAUCCCAUACAAGAAACCCAACGGCCUGAUUUAUGUAAAAAAACUAACAAUAAAAAGAAAACAAAAAUUACAGAAAGACAGUAACCAAUUGCAAGAGGAACGACUUACUGAAACAUAUGUUUGCCUUGAGGUGGUUAAUCAGUGUUGUUAAAACUCCUACUCAGUGUGUCGCUAAUACAAAGCAGGGUUCACAUUUGAUAUCACUUUAUCAUGUUAUCGGCCUGGUAUUCAUGUAAUAUUUGCCACUGGAUGCUGACAGUCAUUGUAAUCAUGAAUACAUACAUGGCGUAUAUAGUCAGUCUAUUCCAUUAUAUAAUCAAUGAUCAUUACUGACUUAAUUGGAGGUUGAUAGUUAUUUUGUUUUUUACAUUGUACAGGCUUUUUAUAGUUAAAUUAGAUGUCAUUAAAAUUAUCAUCCAAA
Molecule: long non-coding RNA, 1644 nt
Filed under: Mytilus galloprovincialis (Mediterranean mussel)
Lineage: Eukaryota; Metazoa; Mollusca; Bivalvia; Mytilida; Mytilidae
Source: RNAcentral